GGGAGCCGUAUGAGCUGAGAGGUUCACGUACGGUUCUGAGAGAAACUAAGGGUGAAGUUCCCUUGGUUUACUUACUCAAAU
Clostridium estertheticum is the source of this 81-nucleotide non-coding RNA. The record is from Rfam. Lineage: Bacteria; Bacillati; Bacillota; Clostridia; Eubacteriales; Clostridiaceae.